GACACGGGAUGCUUACGCCGCGGUGAGUAGGAGGGUCGCAGCGGCGAGCGUUGAAGGUGCCGGGCGCGAGCCCGCCUGGAGCCGCCGCUGGUGCAGAUCUUGGUGGUAGUAGCAAAUACUCAAGUGAGAACCUUGAGGACUGAGGUGGAGAAGGGUUCCAUGUGAACAGCAGUUGAACAUGGGUCAGUCGGUCCUAAGGGAUAGGAGAAAUCCGUUCCGAAGCGGGUGUUUUUUGACGUUGUGCCCGCCGGUCGACCGAAAGGGAAUCGGGUUAAUAUUCCCGAACCCGGACGCGGAGAUCGGCCUCUCGGGGCCAAGUGCGGCGACGCAACCGAACUCGGAGAUGUCGACGGGAGUCCCGGGAAGAGUUGUCUUUUCUUUGUAAGGGCUCGGCUCCCUGGAAUCGGCUCGUCCGGAGAUAGGGAUGCUGUUCCCGUAAAGCACCGCGGCUC
This 452-nucleotide ribosomal RNA is filed under the name Acanthophrynus coronatus. RNAcentral describes it as "partial large subunit ribosomal RNA". It matches the Rfam family "Eukaryotic large subunit ribosomal RNA", at positions 1363 to 1774 of the family's 3401-position model. The record is from RNAcentral. Lineage: Eukaryota; Metazoa; Arthropoda; Arachnida; Amblypygi; Phrynidae.